Molecule: long non-coding RNA, 735 nt
Organism: Gossypium arboreum
Lineage: Eukaryota; Viridiplantae; Streptophyta; Magnoliopsida; Malvales; Malvaceae
Exons: 2
Source: RefSeq, a predicted model, not a curated record
AAAAACAAAAAGUAGAUUUGGCUAUGAGGAAUUGUUGAUCUAAGUUGAAAAGCAAGAAUUUGGGAUUUGAGCAUUUAUAGAAGCUACAAAGAAGAAAAAGAAUUAUUAUAUAGAAAAAAUAAAUUUAAUUUUUGAGUUCUGCAUAAUCUAAAAAAAUAUGAAACAUAAAAGAGACAAUGGAAAUGCUUUUGCAUGAGACAACACAAAAAGAAUUCCAAGAUUUUUCAUUCUUCGGUGGCACUUGCAGCGCUCAGGUCCACUGAUAAAUCAAGAGCCUGCACAGUGAUACAAGGUUGGGAUUAUGAUGGUUUAGUGACGGUUUUACUCAAAGAGCGGAGAGACGGAUAUGGAUAAUCAGAGUUCAGGAGCAGGAAGGAAGACGGUAGAGGGUGAGAGUGUGGAGAGAGAAGGAUUCUUAAAAAGGGUAUUGAGAAGGGAGUUGGCCCCAUUGUACGUGCUCGUGAUGUCAUGGACUCGCGAGGUAGAGGGCUCGCCAAGAUCUUGGCUUUGUAAGUGUCUGUAGCUUGUGAGGAGACUUUUAAUCAGGGGUAUCGUCCGUGAGGUCAAUAUGGGGCGCAAGGUGAGCUCAUGAGGUGUAGGUAUAACAAUAUUAUUUUCAUACUUGUUAGGGUUUAGGGUUUAAAUCUAGAUAAUAUAUAUUAGUAUCAAAAUGCAAUAAGAUGAAAACCCUUACUUUUCCAGUAAUCUUAGUAUACAUCUGGAUCACAUCAUUCA